This is a long non-coding RNA of Musa acuminata subsp. malaccensis (wild Malaysian banana), 647 nucleotides long. RefSeq lists it as uncharacterized. The record is from RefSeq and is a predicted model, not a curated record. Lineage: Eukaryota; Viridiplantae; Streptophyta; Magnoliopsida; Zingiberales; Musaceae.
AGAUGGAGGAGGGUGAGAGGCGAGUGAAGACGAGAACGGAAGAGCGAGAAUGCCGACUACUCGUUCGGCUUCACGUCCUCGUAUGGAUUUACCAGGCUUUGGCAACUGCAUGGAAAUGUACUUCAAGUUCAGAUGGAGAUCUGAGCCCCUGCAGUAGCUUCAGAUUGUUUCAGAAGAACUGCAAAGCUAAGCUUUGAUGGAUACUGUAAAGAAGUACGAAGAUGUCCAAGCAUGGAAAACACAAUUCUAAAGGGAAUGCAUAGGAGACACACCACUUCAGAUCCUCUUAUUCUUCUUCUUUUUUUGCAUUGUUCUUUUCUUUAGCCAUUCAUGAAAAGGUUGCUGCUAACAUCCAAUGUCUCCUCAGAUAGGUGCCUUGCUGACACAGAAUAAUCAUCACUUGGGCCUUGGAUGUCACACCGGUGGUUCUUAGAGCAGAUAGCUCAUGUGUUCUGAACAAGGAACAAUUCCAUACCUCCCACGUAUGUUAUGGAUCAUAUAAAGAUUGGAUGCAUGCAAGGAUCAAGUCUCAUCCAAGUUGUGCUCAGAAAUUACCAAGUUAGAGCUCUGCUUUUGGAGUGGACUAAAACCAUAAUAACAGGUCUGGUGUGUAUCUUCACUUGUGAUCUUUGGGAAAAUGGAAGACA